GUAGCUAUAGUCACAUAAACCAAAGUUGAAACAACACAGAGAUUAGCAUGGCACCUCUGCAAAAAUGACAUGCAAAUUUGCAAAGUGUUUCAUAUUUUC
RNAcentral lists this small nuclear RNA (99 nucleotides) under Callithrix jacchus (white-tufted-ear marmoset). The record is from RNAcentral. Lineage: Eukaryota; Metazoa; Chordata; Mammalia; Primates; Cebidae.